GGAUCCUUAACCCACUGAACAAGGCCAGGGCUCGAACCCGCAUCCUCGUGGAUACUAGUUGGGUUCUUAACCUGCUAAGCCACAAUAGGAACUCCUAAUUUCAUAUUUUACUUUCAAAUCAGACAAGUCUUUUUUAUUUUAAGUUAAAGGUUAUUUUUUAAUUUUUAAUUUUUAAAUCUUUUUAUGGCUGUACCUGUGGCACAUGGAAUUUCCUAGGCUAGGGGUUGAAUUGGAGCUGCAGUUGCCAGCCUACGAGGCAGUGCUAAAUCUUUAACCCACUGAGCGAGGCCAGGAAUCACACCUGCAUCUGCGUGGAUACUAGUUAGGAUGGUUACUGCUGAGCCGCAGUGGGAACUCUUAGCUUUUUGUUCUGAAAUAAUGCCAGACUUACAAAAAAUUAGUGAAAAAUAGUAGAAUUCCUGGAUACUCUUCAACUAGUUUCUUGAAAUAGUAAUGCCUGUAUAAUCAUAGUAUAAAUCACAAUCGUAGCGUAGUAUGAGGAGUGUAAGUUACGCAGUCGUAGUAUGAAUCGCUUUGAAGCAGUACUGUGAGCUGGCUGAUGAACAUUGGCUACUCGAAUGUUCCCGUUUUCCGGUCCAGGAUGCUGUAUUGCAUUUCAGUGCCUCGUCACCUUGAUCUCCAGUCUGCACAGUUUCUCAGUCUGCCUUUGUCUCUCUAAGUCUGGCCCUGGUAGAUACCAGCUGGGUAUGCGGUAGGAUGCCUGUCAGUUUGGGUUGUUUGCUGUUUCCUUCUGAUUAAAGGCAGGGUGAGCAUUUUGGCAGGAACCCUGCGGAAGUGCUGAUGUUGUGUGCUGAGGGCACCACCAGAAGAGGCGCCACUGGUGGGCCUCCUAGAUUUCUCCUGAUAGAACAUUUGUUUAAAAAAAAAAUGUUUUUUUACUUAGGGCUGCACCCGCAGCCUACGGAAGUUCACAGGCUAAGGGUCCAAUCAGAGCCACAGCUGCGACCUACACCGCAACUCAUGGCGACACCAGAUCCUUAACCCACUGAGCAGGGCCAGGGGUUGAACCCACGUCCUCAAGGAUACUAGUUGGGCUUGUUACCACUGAGCCGCAAUAGGAACUCCCUGAAAUUUGUGUUUUUUUCUUUGUAGUUAGUAUUUUGGAUGGAGAUACCCGAAGAACCUGUGUUGUUUCUCAUCGUCCUUUAUUGCACUAGUUUUAGCCUCCAUUGGAGAUUCGUACCUACAGUAAUUAUGGUGGUGGCCGGGCGGUGGCUUUCCGUUUCCCCCUUUCCAUCUACAUACGUUAAUUGGCAUUUUGCUCUUAAGGAGGAACUCUUGCUCUCCCCACCCCCAUGUAUUCAUUUCUGUAUGUCAGCAUGGAUUUCUAGAUACUUAUUUUAUUCUAGUUUUUUUUUUGUUUUUUCUUUUUAGGGCCGCACCUGUGGCACGUGAAGGUUCCCAGGCCAGGGGUUGAAUCAGAGUGACAGCUGCUGGCCUCCACCACAGCCACAGCAACGCCAGAUCCGAGACAUGUGCCAGAUCCUUAACCCACUGAAGCAAGGCCAGAGAUUGAACCCACAGCCUCAUGGUUCCUAAUGGGAUUCGUUUCUGCUGUGCCGCAAUGGGAACUCCCCUAUUCUAGGGGUUUUAAUCCGUCAUAUUAAUGUUACAUUUGUUGCGUACAUUUGACUGUGGGGAGUGCCUUUGAAUUGGUGUCUGUGACCCUUUGACAUGCCCUCACCUGAACUUCCUUACUUUCUGGCACCAGGAGUUUCCAGGCUUAUUUUGUCCUUUCCCUGCUGCAGCCCCCAAAUCAGCUAUGUCUUUAAGGAGUCCUGCUUCCUGCUGGUGGAAAAUGGUAUUAGAAACCAAGAGGUGUGUGCUAGGUGUGCUUAUUGCUAGUGGGGUGCUUCUAGGCUGUCUUAACAAACAGCUGGAAAUGAUGCAUGCAUGCAUAUGCAGACACGUCUCCGUCUGUCUCAUUGUCUAGUCAACGUAUAAUAAAGUCCAUGAAUUCACAUGAAUAUCUUCAGUUCCAGUCCAACACCACAGAACUUUUUCCAGCCUUUCUUUUCUCCUUAUUUUUAGUUCCUUUUUCCCAGAGUUGAAAACCUGGCUUCUCUCUGCAGCAUCUUUGCUUGUCUGCUCAGUCUUUGACUACAUGCAGCUUAGUUUCAGAACUGCUCAUUCUCACCCCCAGGAAGAACAAGUGUAGGAACUGGAGUAGCCGUGUGUGUACGUAGGCAGCCCCACUUUCCGAAUGUUUGCUUUCUGCCACCUCACUUUCGUGAAGGAUCUACAUGAGGACCUGUUUUUGCUGAUGGGAAUCCAGAGAUGAUUUUCACUUUCAUGAGGAAAGGUAAUUGCUUCUGUACUCUUAUGCCGUUUUGGCAUAUGAAGGCUUUUAUAGGACAGCUCUGCUUCUGGGUAGUGGGGGAACCUGUAGUUCUUUUUGUCUUUAUCAUUCCAAAGUUUGAUGUUUAGUGUUCCCAAGUUAUUUAGGUUCUUUUUUUCCUUAUCGCUUUAUUGUGGUUAUUUUAUUUGCUUAUAGUACAGUUAGUUUUACUUGUUUUGUUUCUUUGUAUUCUAUUUUGGUUCUCACAUCCAAGUUGAUUUUAUUUAUUUUUUUGAGUAAGUGAAACAGUUACCAAGGUUCUAAAAAUCAGAGCUCGGAGUUCCCAUUGUGGUGCAGCGGAAAAAAAAUCUGACUAGGAGCCAGGGAUCGAACCUGCAACCUCAUGGUUCCUCGUCAGACUCGAUAACCAUUGAGCCACGACAGAAGCUCCCUUUUUUUGGCCAACUUGUGGCAUAUGGGAAUUCCUGGGCCAGGGUUUGAAUCUGAGCUGCAGCUGACACCUACACCAUAGCUGCGGUAAUGCCAGGUCUUUAACCCACUGUGCUGCAGUGGGCUCUUUGCCUAGUUUCUUAAUGGUGUCUUGGAUAAACGGAUGCUCUUAACUUUGUUGUUGAAUGUAGCACUUUUUCCUGUGGGUAGUGAUUUCCAUUCCUGUCCAGGAGGUCUCUCCUCGCCUUGAGGUCGUGAAAUACUCUCCUGUGUCUUCUUGAAACUUUAUGGUCUGGUUUCUAUGUUUAAGUCUGUGAUCCAUCUCAAGUUACUUUCUGUGUAUGGAGCACCUUGACUUUCAUGUUAUUUAUUUAUUUAUUCUCUUAGGGCCACACCUGUGGCAUAUGGAGGUUCCCAGGCUAGGGGACGAAUUGGAGCUGCAGCCGCAGCUGCUGGCCUCCACCACAGCCAUAGCGACACGGGAUCUGAGCUGCAUCUACCACCUACACCACAGCUCACUGCAUCACUGGAUGCUUAACCCACUGAGCAAGGCCAGGGAUCGAACCCUUGUCCUCGUGGAUUCUAGCUGGGUUUGUUAGUGCUGGGCCUCACCAGGGGCUCCCACCUUCACCUUUAGAGCAGUAGGUUAGCUUUGCUGGCUUUGAGUGUUCUAUAAAUAGACUAAUCCAGCGUACACGUCCUGAGUCUGGGCCUUCGUAUCCAGCAUCUUGUUUAGUGAUUCAUCCAUGGUAAAGGCUAUAGUUCAUUGGUCUUCGUUGUUGUAUAGUGUUUUGCUGCAUGAGUGUACCUUGGUUGGCUUGUUUGUAAACAUUCCCACACCAUGUAUCUUUGGGGCUGUAAUUAGGUGUUUAGCGGCCGGGUCAGUGUGUAGGUACAUGUUCAGCGUGAUCUGUUGAGCUGUGUUUUAAAACAGCUGAGUUUAUAUUUUCGGCGGCGGCGUAGGAAAGGUUUACUUGUUCUGUAAGCCGUCAUCAUUGGUGUUGAUGUUGUCUUCUGUCUUAACAGUGUGGUGGCUGUGAGUGGAGUGUAUGUUGGUGAAGUACAGGAUAGGUUCACCAUUAAAGAAAAAAUGAGUGUGAUUCGUUUCCUCUUCAAAGAGAAAAGUCACAGGGUUCACGCAGUUGAUACGGCAAAGGCGCGAGGUUGUGCUGGGGCAGGUGACGCGCUGAGGCGUGUCCUCCGUUCUCACUGGUGGAAGACGGUGUAGCUGUCGGGGACUGAAGCAGCCUUUGUGGAAAGACCCUAAUGACAGAGCCGACUCGCUGACGUCGGCUUAGCAGACUCCUCAGUUGUGCUUUCUCUUGGAAUUUGUCCUUUCAUCUAAUCUUGCAGUUUGGGGCGUUAAGUUAUUCGCGGGACCGUUUCUCCCGUGGCGUCCGUGUGGACAGCCCUCUCAUUUCUGCUUGUCCUCAGAUGAACCGUUCACUCACGGAUGCCCGGUUGCGGGGAGACCGAUGCAGGUGUGUCCUGUGAGAGCUUGGCGUCUGCGGCGUCACUUUCACCCUCGGCCUCGCUGGCACCCUGGCCCUGACGGCGGCCUCCUUGGGUUCUCCUCUGGAUUCAUCUGAUGAUUGUGCAGAGUCCUCGCUGCCGACUUUGUUCUGUCAUUUGGGAGGAAAGCGAGGAAUUCUUAACGAACGGCCGUACAGAGAGCUGGCUGCAGAGAGAGGCUCUCCCGUCAGUUAGAAAGCAGAGGCGAAGCGCCCCCAUCCUCCCGGGUGGUUCCCUGGUGCUGCCGCCCCCUUGUGACUGAAGUCGUUGUUGGCCCAGUUGGGAACACUUGCGUGUGGCAAGACAGUGCUUAUGGUGAUGGAAGCGCAUCAUGAUGCAGGAGAAGCGAGAUGCUUAGAGACGUCUUGGGUCUUAGACAUGGGGGUCUGGUGGACCCAUGUAGCAGUUGCAAGACGAAAUGUUUUCUCUAUUUACAAAAAAAAAAUAAAGGAAAUCUCUCAUCGUUCUUUGGGAGGCCCGUAAGAAAGACUAAAACUGCACUGUCGGCCUCCCAAUUAGUCAUCGCUGCCCAGAAAAACCGGUAACUGCGGUUGGGCCUCGCAGACCCCGGUUCUUCCCCGACAGCCGUCGGAAGAGUGACGUGUAGUCGAGGUCUGCGCUGGAGGGACAAGGUGGCGUGAGGGUGGACGCCACCUGUGAGUGGACGAACUGGUGAAUUGAGUGCCCUGAGCUUUUUGCAGAUAAAAGCCCCGAGUGACUGUCAACGUGUGGGUUAGAACUCUCGGGGAAAAUCUGCCAGAAAAGUUUAAACUCAAUUUUGAUGUGAUUUACAAAAAGAAACAAAAAAUUCUCUUCUGCAGAUUAUCAAGGAAAAGGUUUAUCUAAAAGAGGAAAAUCUCGAAGCUAAAGCAUUUGAAUUUACAUACAAUGAAGAGCUUAGAAAAUGUGCAUAAGGAGCUCCCACUGUGGCUCAGUCGGUUAAAAACCCUGCUAGUAUCUGUGAGGAUGCAGGUCCAUCCCUGGCCUCACCCCGUGGGUUAAGGACCCGGCAUUAUUGCGGGCUGCGGUGUGGGUCACACAUGCAGGUUAGGUGCAGUGCUGCUGUGGCUGUGGCUGUGGCC
This 5343-nucleotide long non-coding RNA is filed under the name Sus scrofa (pig). RNAcentral describes it as "lncRNA (ENSSSCG00000054246.1)". Lineage: Eukaryota; Metazoa; Chordata; Mammalia; Artiodactyla; Suidae. The record is from RNAcentral.